RNAcentral lists this ribosomal RNA (452 nucleotides) under uncultured bacterium. RNAcentral describes it as "bacterial SSU rRNA". It matches the Rfam family "Bacterial small subunit ribosomal RNA", at positions 28 to 478 of the family's 1533-position model. The record is from RNAcentral.
GAUGAACGCUGGCGGCGUGCUUAACACAUGCAAGUCGAACGAAGCACUUUAUUUGAUUUCCUUCGGGACUGAUUAUUUUGUGACUGAGUGGCGGACGGGUGAGUAACGCGUGGGUAACCUGCCUUGUACAGGGGGAUAACAGUUGGAAACGGCUGCUAAUACCGCAUAAGCGCACGGCAUCGCAUGAUGCAGUGUGAAAAACUCCGGUGGUAUAAGAUGGACCCGCGUUGGAUUAGCUUGUUGGUGGGGUAACGGCCCACCAAGGCGACGAUCCAUAGCCGGCCUGAGAGGGUGAACGGCCACAUUGGGACUGAGACACGGCCCAGACUCCUACGGGAGGCAGCAGUGGGGAAUAUUGCACAAUGGGGGAAACCCUGAUGCAGCGACGCCGCGUGAAGGAAGAAGUAUCUCGGUAUGUAAACUUCUAUCAGCAGGGAAGAUAGUGACGGUAC